This 469-nucleotide ribosomal RNA is filed under the name uncultured organism. Its description in RNAcentral is "partial 16S ribosomal RNA". It matches the Rfam family "Bacterial small subunit ribosomal RNA", at positions 332 to 797 of the family's 1533-position model. The record is from RNAcentral.
UACACUCCUACGGGAGGCAGCAGUGAGGAAUAUUGGACAAUGGGUGGAAGCCUGAUCCAGCCAUCCUGCGUGCAGGAAGACGGCCCUAUGGGUUGUAAACUGCUUUUAUCUGGGGAUAAACCUACUUACGUGUAAGUAGCUGAAGGUACCAGAAGAAUAAGCACCGGCUAACUCCGUGCCAGCAGCCGCGGUAAUACGGAGGGUGCAAGCGUUAUCCGGAUUUAUUGGGUUUAAAGGGUCCGUAGGCGGACUGAUAAGUCAGUGGUGAAAUCCGACAGCUUAACUGUCGAACUGCCAUUGAUACUGUUAGUCUUGAGUAAGGUUGAAGUGGCUGGAAUAAGUAGUGUAGCGGUGAAAUGCAUAGAUAUUACUUAGAACACCAAUUGCGAAGGCAGGUCACUAAGUCUUAACUGACGCUGAUGGACGAAAGCGUGGGGAGCGAACAGGAUUAGAAACCCCGGUAGUCCCA